Molecule: long non-coding RNA, 6913 nt
Organism: Mustela lutreola (European mink)
Lineage: Eukaryota; Metazoa; Chordata; Mammalia; Carnivora; Mustelidae
Exons: 3
Source: RefSeq, a predicted model, not a curated record
AGGGAAGAGCACACAAGGAAGGGACCAGAAUGGGAUUGUAAUGAGCAUCACCGAGGGGGUGGGGGGGCAUCCCCACCUGGGGAUGGCAGCUGUCAAUCUGGAAUUAGCACGAUCCUAACCUUAUAGCUUGGUUUUUCCGAUCCUUUCUGUGUACAAGUGACAUCCUUAUGUUCUUGUAUCUUAAAUCUAUGUUCAACGUCCAUAUGUUUCAUUUAUUCUAUGUCUAGCACGUCUUGCAAGUUACCAACUACUGUCUAUACUUAACACAUUUUAUGAAUUUUGCCUGUCUUUUAUUUUUCUUGCCUUCUACAGCAGACUUCAAUAUUCUCAGUAAUACAGCCAACACACAUUAUAUUCAUCUGAGCCAACCUUUGGCAAUCCCAGAACUUCUGAGGGGGCAUGUGGCUCAUCUCUGGUCAGUGAGACUCCAGGAGGAAUUUUAGGGGGCAUCUGGGAAAGAUUUUCUUCCCUGACAAAAAGCAAAAGCAAUGUAGGGAAGAAAUUCUUUGUCCUCUUUCCUCCCUCCAUGUGCUGCAGCAAUGAAAUCAUGGCUGGCACAUAGUAGACACUCAACAAAUGGUUGAAUGGAUGAACAAAUAGCGCCAGUGCCCAGCCUUCAUUUCUGUGACUCUGAAGUCAUGCUUUGUCUUCUGAUCAAGCUUCAUUCCUAAAUCCAGGGUUGGGAAGGUGGAAGCAGGGUAAUGAAAACAUAUCUUGUGAUGAUCAUUUAAUAAUAAUAAUAAUAUUAACAAUGAUAAUAAAUUAACCGCAGCUUCCAUUUAUUGAAAGUUUACGGGUCAGGAACAGUUCUAAGCACACAAUAACCACACAAGGCAGAAACAACUACCACCUUGUUUUGCCUAUUAAGACGCAGAGUCACAGAAUGUAAAGCCAGUUCCCUGAGCUCACUCAGCAGGCUGGUGGUGGCCUUGGAAGUGGGAUCUAGACACCUUGAGCUCAGAGUACACACACUUAGACACAACGCCAUCUGUAUAAGUUUCCCAUUGCUUCUGAAAAUCACAAUAGUGGGGCUUUACGUGACACAAAUUUGCUGUCAUACAGUUGGGGAGUUCAGCAGCCCAGCACUGUCUUCCCGGGCUAACUUUAAGGAGUUGACAGGGCUGCCUGUGGUCCUUUUGCAGGCUACAGGGUAGAGAACCUCUCUCUGCCUUUUCUAACUCUAGAAGUGGUCUGAAAUCCUUGCCUUCGGGCUGCAUCAUUCUGAGCUCUGCUUCCUUAUUACAUCUCCUUCUCAGAUGCUCCUGAUUCUCUCUUGCAAGACUCAUCCUUACAUUGGGCCCAUCUGGAUAAUCCAGGAAAAUUUCUUUGUCUCAAGGUCCUUAACUUAACCACAUUUACAAAAACCCUUUUGCCUUGUAGGGGAACAUAUUCACAGGUUGUGAGGUUAGGACAGGGAUGUCUUUGGGCGGUCAUUAUUCUGCUUACUCCACCAUACUGCCCAUGCAGGGCCUGGACUGAUGGGCCCCGAGUCCUGCGGCAGAAGUUCUGUCACACACCAAGGAAUGGAGAAGGGUACCCUCAAACCUUUGUCUGCUUUCCCAAGACCUUUCCCGAGCGGGGGAGGAAUACUUGGUGAAGCAGUAAUAUGAACCACGCAGGGGAGUCAUGGGGCCUUGGCCUCUUGUCCAUCAGCUCAUCUAGAUUGCAUUCUGCAUGUUGACUAGGUCCUUAGUUCUGCUUCGUUCCUCAGUUGGCUGGCUUCAUCUUUGUGUGUGUGCGUGUGCGUGUGUGUGUGUUUUCCUUACUGCUAAUUCAUUUCUAUUUCUUUUUUUUUUUUUUAAGAUUUUAUUUAUUUAUUUGACAGAGAGAGAUCACAAGUAGGCAGAGAGGCAGGCAGAGAGAGAGAGAGGAGGAAGCAGGCUCCCUACAAAGGAGAGAGCCUGACUCGGGGCUCGAUCCCAGGACCCUGGGAUCAUGACCUGAGCUGAAGGCAGAGGCUUUAACUCUCUGAGCCACCCAGGCGCCCCAUUCAUUUCUAUUUCUAUUUCAAAUUCAAGUUGGAGUAAUUUCUUUGAGGUCCCUUGAAUUCAUUCCUCCAGUCUCCCUGGUGAACACUUUGGUUCCAGGGAAAACCUUACCUCUCAGCUAUCUUGAAACAGACUUAUUGGUUUCUCUGGAUUCCGUCCAGUCACAGCCAUUUCCAGACCCAGCUUGUGUGAAUGGAUUCCCCCACAGCUCUGGCUUUCAAGCUUAUUUUCCAUUGCAGAGGAAGCCUCCCUUGAAGUGAAAGCCCACUGUAUGAGGCCAAUGGAAUGGAGCUGUCUUUGGCAGGGAGGGGUGUCCAGCCCCUCUCACUGGACCCCUUCCCCUCCGCCCACUUUUGCACGUCCCAUCCCCUCUGGGCCCAGGUUGAAAACCAUCCUUCUGCAGACUGAUUUGCUUCUCCCCAGUUAACUAUCUCAUUUCCUCGUGGCUUGCUUCCUUGAGUCCCUUGGCCAGCAGGAAGCUUUUGUCUUCUCUCCACAUCCCUCAUGCUCUUUGAAGGUCACAUUUCCCCAAACAAACCUAGCUUCUCAGAUGGGUCCGGAGGUGGGGCUACUUCUCACCUGCUUGCCUCUCACCUGUUCAGCCUUCAGAGAGGGAGACCAUGCUGAAAAGGGCAGGCCAGCUAGCUGCACAUCAGCUGGUCUCUCCUCCGUGUGAAUGUUUUACAUCCUUCAUGUCCACAGGCUGUAGUUUGCAAGAAGGAGCUCCUUGGAGGAGCAGAAAUGCUUCCAUCUCAGGGAGGCUGGAGUCCAUGGGCUGUUGGGAGAUGAGGGUAGGGGCAGAGCCAUGAGCAGGAUCUUCUGACAAGUCUAUGAAGCCCUUUGUAAAGUUGGUAUCGAGCCCUGUCCUCGGGCCCUCCAAGCCAGGUUUGGAGUGGGCUGUCUUCCCCACCGGGCAGCUCUGGACCGCAGGGACUGCUUUAGGAAUCCCUAGCGACUGGGACUGAGGAACUGUGGGUGUCCCUGUGGGCCAUUUACUGAGGGCAUCCUGGACCUGCUGAAACACACAAAACUUAACUUUCCAGGCCUCUCACUCAUGUGGGUCUUUUCCAAGUUCCGUUCCUUUCUCAUUCUAAAUAAAUAAUUACUUCCAUACCUAAUCUUGUAUUUAAAAUUGUGUAUUCUCUUUCUCACAGAAAGCCUUCCAAAUUCUAGAAGCUUCAGACCCCCUAAAACCUGGAUGUAUCCCUGCAAACCACAGUCUCAGGGCUCUCCCAGGACACCCAGGGACCCAUGCUCUCGGGGAUCCCUAGGGGAGGCAAAGAUGCUCAUCUCCAAGGCUUUCCAAGGCAUUUGGAGUACUUUGUGUACAGGAUGUCUAUGACAGAUGUUCUGGCAGAAGGCAGGGGGGCCUAAGUUCUGAAAUGCUUCUUGUCCCAUCUGCAGCAUGCAGGUCCCACUGUGGAAACCCAGGAGACUAGGGAAGGCCUGCUUUCUGCUGGGUGCUUGCCCUUGGGCCACACGGCUCCUACAUCCCACUUUGGAUAGUCUUUCUGGAAGGAGGAGUCAACAUUGUCCCUUCUCUCCAGGAUGGCUUCUCCAUCAGGCCAGGACUCCUGGUCUAGGCUCCAACCUGGCAGUACUGGUAGCUGACUUCAAUUCCUAAAUCUAGCUCUAAGAGUCAUAUCCUACAAAAUGUGUGAGUUUGCCUAUCUCAGGAGUUGGGAACUCAGCGCCUAGGACCCAGUCGGCUUUGCAUUGUUUCAUAGUCACUGACUCAAGUCAGAUCUACAAAGCAAGUGAUAGCUAACACCGUUUUAUGGUUUCAUUUUAAAGAUUUAUUUGAGAGAGAGAGAGAGCGAGAGCACAAACAAGGAGGGGCAGAGGAUGAGAGAGAGAGAAUCCCAAGCAAACUCCCCACUGAACAUGGAGCCCGGACGCAGGGCUCAAUGUCACAACUCUGAGAUCAUGAACCUGAGGAAAUCAAGAGUCAGGUGCUUAACUGACUGAGCCACCCAGGCACUCCAGCAAACACAGUUUAAAAAAUGUAUAUGGACACUUCUAGAAAUAGAUAGUGGAUUAAAGCUUCCUCAUAGAAUUUCUCUUUCUCAAUCCCUAACAAAAGACAGUAGACAAAACCACAGGGGAAAUUUACUAUCAGUAACCAAUACAAUAAACUUCAAAUUUGACAUCCAGAGAAAGAUACAAAAGAUGACAUGGAGUGGCAUAGAACAUUUCUGCUCCCUCCCCUGUCCUGAACCCCUAGAAAUGAACAUAAUCCUGAACAUUCUCCCUAGUGCUCCUGAAUCUGGAAGGAAACAGAUGUGAGUCAUGCCCUUGUAUUCUUCCUCUUCUGAAUGAACCAUAUUAAAAAGUGUGCUGGGGAGAAAUAGGGGAAGCAGAGAGCAUGACCCAUGGAGCUGACUCAGUUGAUGGAAAGAAAACCCCUUAGAACAACACUCCAAUUUGAGAAAUUGACACAAACCUGAGUUUCCCCUUUCCUUACAAAAAGUAUAUAAGAUCCCCCUCUCGGUCCCCAAUCAAAUGACCUGAGCCUUGUGCAGGACGUUAACCAGAACCUCAGGACAGUCGCACACGCACGCAUUCCCACAAGGGCUGCCCUCUGCUUCAACUGAGCUUUCCUCUUUCCCCUCCUCCACUUCUGACUACCAAAAAGUGUACACAAUCCAAACACUCUGCCUCUCACUUAGCUCAGAGGGAAAAACAGACUGAUCUCAAAGAGUGAGGUCAUAGUCAAUGAGUUCUUCUCUCCUGCCAUCACGUUACAGCAGCAGAAGGUAAGUCUGGAUGGAGCCACCAAAUCAGAUGAAAAGAAAUGGAGGCAAACACAUGGCAGCUCAUAAUUAAUAAGUAGAGGGAAAACAGUAAGCAAAAGGCAAAGGUUCCUCAACACCCUUGUCACCCCACCCUGCCCCGACCAAAGGAAAUUGCUUUCAAUUGCUUCACAGAGAAAACAAUAAGAACAUGAAUUUAAUAACUGAAGGCUCAAAGAUAGGGUGAUAAAAUGAGAAUUGAUAGCAAGGAAACAAAUUGAGGACAAAAACAGCAUCAUGUUAGAACAGAUAACUUAGAACGAACAAGAGAGGCAACUAACCACACCGAAACUUACAUUACUGAAUUGAGGCAGCUAAACAGAGGUAAAGAGAUUUAAGAAACUGGAAUUAAUAGAAAUGGGGUACAUACAAAGAUGAUCCAGUAUAAGGAUUUGUUAGUAUCCUUGAAGGAGGAAAAUUAAAACAACAACAACAACAACAACAACAACAACAAAAACAGAGCCAAAGGAGAGUGUCUAAUACAGGAAAAAUGUAAAUUGCAGAUUGAAAGACCCAUGAUUUCCAGAAAAGCUUGAUUCAGAAUGUUUAAUACUAAGACAUGUCUUAGUUAAAUUGUUGAACUAAAAAAAAGUGAUGGAAAGUGACUCCUUUAGGCAUACAAGCAGGAAAAAGAGGUCAUCUACAAGGAGGAAAAUUCAGACUUGUCUCAGAUUUCUUCCAGAGAAAAAAGUGCAACACCUACCAUAUUCUAUGCGAAAGAAGGGGAGACCUGAGAACAUUACCAUCAGCCAAAAUCUGGUUCCAAUGUAAAGUCAACAGGCAGACAUUCUUAAACAUCCAAAACCCUUCUUGAUGAAAUAAGGUAACGAUGAAACUCAGUCCACGAAGAGCUAAAUUGAAAUAAAGAGCUUGCAAAUGGAGAAGCCUUGAUAAAAAGGUUGGAAUUAAUUUAAAUCUAGAUCCUAUACCAAGUAACUAUGCAAUUAUGUUUUGGUUUUUUUAUUUUUAUUUUUUUUUGCAAUUAUGUUUUUAUAGAACAGAUACAUUUCUCAUAAACCCGGAGGAUGUAAUGACUACAAUAUAAGUAAGGGAGAUGGAAAAAUGGAAAGAAUCAUAAGAGCUAAGAUGCCUUUGCAUGCCGACAUGUGAAAUUGUUAUUUUUUUAAAAAAUGACUGAAUAUCUUAAUGUUUUUCACCAUUUUUGUUUACCCUCAGAGGUACCCUUCAAUGAGUAAUGUCUCUUGUGGUCAAGAAACAUUACUUGAAGGUUCACUCUUCCUUCAGUUUCAAGUAGAAUUAAAUGUAAUACUUUGAAUUCAAAUAGCAUCUGUAGUAUGGUCCAGUUCUUACGAAGAAGCUCUGUGACCUUCCCUCCUAUCUUUAUGCACAGAAAGUUUUCUGGAAUGAUGUGAUGUUAUGGCUAUUUCUAUGGUCGAUUCUGAAAGGUCGUAUACAGCUGAUUAUUUUUUUGCUUGUCACUUUUUUAAUAUUUUAAUUUUCUGAUACAUCUAUGAAUACAAAAAUUUUAAAUAUUAGAAACAAAAUGUUCUCUGGCUCCUCACUGAAAGAAAGAAAAAAAAACUUGGCAGAGGGAUGCUAUUUCCCAGUGUCUACUCUCUUCACAUUUUAUAGACUUUUUAGCAUAUACUUGAUGACCAGUAUACAGACAGACCCUGUUUCCCAACUGGGGUUCUGGCUGAUAGGAUAUAGGCAUACAUACCAUGUGGCAGCUUUCGGCUUAUUGGAGAGUACCUGCUCAUUUUCUCUUUAUCACUUUCAUUCCCUCCUGCUGUCUGGAAUGCAGAUAUCACUAUAUGGGACCAUGAGGUCAAGACCUUGCAAAGCAAAGGGACACAGAAGAUAACUACUAUAUAGCAUAUGAAACACCAUGAUAGAGAGGAACAAAGUGAAUACAUUGAGUCCAAAAGGACCAGUGGAGCCAGUUCACUUCAGUGACAAGCUACCGUUUGUCUAGAAGAGAAGAGAAAGCCAUUUCAGGGGCCCAGAUUCCAUUAGGACGUCUCCCCCAAAUCCCUGGAACAAGCAGGGUGAUGACAAUUUGCAAUCUGGUGCCUUGGCCGUGGAGGUGAAAUAAGCAUCCUGCGCAUUCCUUGCGCAAGAAGUCAAUUCGCAGGAGCUGAAGGCUGGUCUCUUCCCGGGAAGGCCGCCGGG